CUGGUAGCACCAUCAAUCAGAGAGCAAGUCAGCACAACCCCAGUGGAAGUCCAGGCCUCUGUGUGUCAGAGUUUGUUUUAGGACUGACAUCCCUUUAUAAACACCACAAGCGGCUCCAGUUGAAUCACCAUUUGCAGCUCUGUCUAACCCUUCUGCGUCAGCACUCAAAGUGCUUGCAUUUGCCCAGGAGGUAAAUGCAGAUGCAGCUAGCAGCCCACAACUGUCUAAUAUUUAGUCGGUAUCCAGCGAUUCAGAUGUGAUACGAACGCUGCACUGACACACCGGUGUGGUGGGAUUAUGUCAGAGGAAUACACAACAACUGGGAUUUGAGCAUCUUUGGGGCUAAGGAGAGUCCAGUUAGUUCCAUAUUCUAUUCCUGCAUCCUGAAUAAACUGGGUUUGAGGCCCACUGACUCGAAAUUGACUGCCUGCAGCUCUGUUUUACUGCAUGGAGAGGAAAGAAGGAGACAGACAGAGACAGAGAGAGACUCAUGGAUUAGAAGGACAGAAACCCCAGACAGAGACAGAGAGAGACUCAUGGAUUAGAAGGACAGAAACCCCAGAGUCAAGAAAAAAAAUUGAAGAAAAUAAACACUUUUCUAUGGAUUUUAGUGUGAGCCAUCAAAAAUGACACACAUCGUUUAAUUAGUGUCCUACCCUUGUCCAAUUAGUAGGGUCUUCAUCUUCAAGCUGCUGCUAUAGACCUGUCUGCAUUUGAAGAGCGAAGAGAACGCAGCACUUCAGGCUGCCUUUGGCAACUGCCGUUUCCCAUCUGGGACUUUGUGUGACACUGGAAUGUCCCUCUUUUCAUGCUGCUAACACUGCCCUCCCUAGGAGAGUCCUUAUGUGAUACAGCAAUACCUUCCCAUUCAUCCACUGGAAGUAAAUAGGUAGGUUGCUCUAUGGCUGACAAGUUCCAAAACGUGGCACUGAGCUUCCCUGACUUUUAGAGUUCUCCACAGGAACCGCGGAGGACAGAGCAUGCACAUAGGUAUGCCAACGGCGGCCAGUGUGGGGUGAGGAGAGGCUUGCCAUCCGGUCAGAAAGCAGCUAAGAGACACAAACCUUUCUCACUAUGCUGGAAUUGCACUGAUGCAAUAAUGGCAGCUCAUUAUCCCUGCGGCCUUUCAAGGGAGCCAUUAUUAUCCUCACUUUUCAGAUGAGGAAAAUAAAGUUCCAAGAGUGUGAGUAACUGACUUAUAAUACUCAUACGUGAUAAAGUUGAAAUUUGAACCUUAAAAUGCUCUGUUCCAAAAC
RNAcentral lists this long non-coding RNA (1256 nucleotides) under Homo sapiens (human). Its description in RNAcentral is "HSALNT0183649". Lineage: Eukaryota; Metazoa; Chordata; Mammalia; Primates; Hominidae. The record is from RNAcentral.